Molecule: long non-coding RNA, 603 nt
Organism: Dreissena polymorpha
Lineage: Eukaryota; Metazoa; Mollusca; Bivalvia; Myida; Dreissenidae
Exons: 2
Source: RefSeq, a predicted model, not a curated record
UUUUUCUAUUUUUAACCAGGUUUUCCGAAGGAAAAAACUGGUUAUUAGAUUGGCGAAUGCGGGCGGGCUGGCUGGCUGGCGGGCUGGCGGAAUAAGCUUGUCCGGGCCAUAACUAUGUCGUUCAUUGUCAGAUUUUAAAAUCAUUUGGCACAUUUGUUCACCAUCAUUGGACGGUGUGUUGCGCGAAAUAAUUACGUCGAUAUCUCCAAGGUCAAGGUCACACUUUGAGUUCAAAGGUCAAAAAUGGCCAUAAAUGAGCUUGUCCUGGCCAUAACUAUGUCAUUCAUUGUGAGAUUUUAAAAUCAUUUGGCACAUUUGUUCACCAUCAUGGGACGGUGUGUCCCACGAAAGAAUCACGUCAAUAUCUCCAAUGUCAAGGUCGCCACGACUAAAAAUAGAUUUAAAAAAAAAAAAAUUACAAAGGGGGUUAAUUUUUUUUGGUCAUUUCAAAAGUUCAGUUUGAGUUUUCUCCCUUUAUCAGAUUUUUUUUUCACAAUGAAAACCUGGUUUUGUGACAAUUUUGUCCCUUGUUGAAAGAUCGUCUAAUAAAUUAAUAAAUGACCACACCCCACAUUAUACCCCCUCUCAACCCCCCCCCCCCCC